UGAAUUUUUAUUUAAAUAGCCGCAGUAUAUUGACUGUGCAAAGGUAGCAUAAUCAUUUGUCUUUUAAUUGGAGGCUUGUAUGAAUGGUUUGAUGAGGGAGUAACUUUCUUUAUAUUAAAUAUUGAAUUUAACUUUUAGGUUAAAAGGCUUAGAUAAUUAAAUGGGACGAGAAGACCCUAUAGAAUUUAAUUUAUUUUUAAUAGUUUAAUUUUUUGGUUAAUUUUUUAUCUAUUAUGUUAUAAAUUUUGUUGGGGUGACAGUAAGAUUUUUUUAACUCUUAUAAUUUGAGCUUUACUAAUUAGUAUAUUUAAGAUCCUAAUUUUGGGAUAACUAGAUUAAAUUACCUUAGGGAUAACAGCGUAAUUUCACUGGAGAGUUCAUAUUGAUAGUGGAGUUUGCGACCUCGAUGUUGGAUUAAAAUAAGAUUUAAGUGCAGAAGCUUAA
Molecule: ribosomal RNA, 444 nt
Filed under: Caonabo sp. BCG-2020
Lineage: Eukaryota; Metazoa; Arthropoda; Insecta; Hemiptera; Pentatomidae
Description: partial large subunit ribosomal RNA
Rfam family: Archaeal large subunit ribosomal RNA
Source: RNAcentral